GAUGAACGCUGGCGGCGUGCCUAAUACAUGCAAGUCGAGCGAACCACUUCGGUGGUGAGCGGCGAACGGGUGAGUAACACGUAGGUGAUCUGCCCAUCAGACGGGGACAACGAUUGGAAACGAUCGCUAAUACCGGAUAGGACGAAAGUUUAAAGGUGCUUCUGGCACCGCUGAUGGAUGAGCCUGCGGCGCAUUAGCUAGUUGGUAGGGUAAAGGCCUACCAAGGCGACGAUGCGUAGCCGACCUGAGAGGGUGAACGGCCACACUGGGACUGAGACACGGGCCAGACCCCUGCGGGAGGGAGGAGUAGGGAGUUUUCGGCAAUGGGCGAAAGCCUGACCGAGCAACGCCGCGUGAAUGAUGAAGGCCUUCGGGUUGUAAAAUUCUGUUAUAAGGGAAGAACGACUUUAGUAGGAAAUGGCUAGAGUGUGACGGUACCUUAUGAGAAAGCCACGGCUAACUACGUGCCAGCAGCCGCGGUAA
This 483-nucleotide ribosomal RNA is filed under the name uncultured bacterium. Its description in RNAcentral is "partial 16S ribosomal RNA". It matches the Rfam family "Bacterial small subunit ribosomal RNA", at positions 28 to 523 of the family's 1533-position model. The record is from RNAcentral.